This 1511-nucleotide long non-coding RNA is filed under the name Strigops habroptila (Kakapo). Its description in RNAcentral is "lncRNA (ENSSHBG00005019805.1)". The record is from RNAcentral. Lineage: Eukaryota; Metazoa; Chordata; Aves; Psittaciformes; Psittacidae.
UGACUCGACGGAGACCUCACGAGCAGUAUCAGAGGCAGAGAUGCUAUUUCACGGCUAGCACAGGGUGUCCUGCCCUUUACCCCUCCCUGUCCUCCACUGGUGCUGUGGCUCAGCAUAAGGGAUGAAGCAUGACCUGGUGACUCCUUCACGCUCCCUGAUAAGCCAUGUGGUGGAGUGCCAGAGGAACUCAGUGAGGGCUCAGGAGUCUCUGCAGAGUUUUUGUGUGCUGGCUAGUAUUUUAUUCAGGAACAGUUUGUCAGUCAUGAGCUGCAGAGAGCUGGAAAUGCUGUCAGUCUGACUGCCAGCAGAGGGACCUGGGAUGCCCAGACGCAGCCAAAGGCAGAGGGAUCUUGAGGGACUGGGCUUUGCUCGCUGUUUUGUUAUACCACGUCCAUCAUCAGCGGGGUUACUGGGUGGAAAGACAGCAUGUCAGUGCGAGAGCUUGUCCUGCCAGCACUGCUGAGCUGUCUAAAUGGAGCUUUUAUGUGCAGAGGACUAAGCGACGUUAGCUGGGGUUUUAUUUUUUUCAGAUCCUUUAUACAGAUUUAGACUCCUUCCUUGAUCUGAAUUGGGUUGUGGUUUGUUUUUUUUUGCACAGUAACCAUCUGGUAUUUAUUGGGAGCUCUCUGCCUUGAGUCUCUGAACUAUUGGUGGAGGCAGUAUGUGAUGGCAACAGGCCAGCCACGUCCCCAUUUCAUCCAGUCUGCAUAUAACACCUUGUGGCCUGUGGUCCCAGUUUCAGCAGUUUCUAUGUAAAGAUAGUUUAAACAGAAGUUUAACUCACACAGAAAAAUACCCCAGUCUGUUGCACCUGCUGCUUUUUGAGAGGCUCGUUGCAAACUGUGGCAUUGGAUUUCAGCGUAGCCACUGCAAAACUAGAGCUGGGGCUGGAUCUAGGCUUCAGUGGCCAGGAGCUGCUGGAUAGGGAAGGAGCAAAUGCUAAUCUGGCCAUCUCCCCUGCAAGGAGAUACCUAAGUAAAGUGAGAGCCUGCAGCCUGGGUGAGGAAACACUGUGAUAGCUGGUGCUUGCCACCUCCCUCUGAUUUACCAUUCACUUUGCAGAGACAAUCAUGGCUUUCUGAUGAGGAUUAUGUCUCCCGCAGUCAGCCACCCUGAGGCUAGAGGAAAAAGAGGAAUUUGUGCAGGCAAGCAGACAUCCCCACGGUACCCAGACUGGUGUACGGACUGUUCCUAGCACGUAGUGUAGCGCAAUAUAACGCAGAGCACCAGAAGCAGAUCUUUUGUUGGCAGGGCAAGGAAACUCUGACACUGUGUCACUCUUCUCAUACAGUUUACGUGAAAAGCACUCACCUUCUGGCUGAAGGGGAUUUGUAAAUACUGCAUAGGACGUGCAGGGGAUAAUAGAGCUGUUGGUGAGCUUGCUCCACAUACAGAUAUUUCAGUGGUUUGACUAGAUCAGCAUUUGAAACACAUCAGCUGGCAGUGAUGUCUGUCCUACAUCACUCCAAUUUUGUAAAAUGAUUUUUUUUUUAAGAAUAAAAAGAUAAUAC